UACGAAGGGGGCUAGCGUUGCUCGGAAUCACUGGGCGUAAAGCGCACGUAGGCGGAUCUUUAAGUCAGGGGUGAAGUCCUGGAGCUCAACUCCAGAACUGCCUUUGAUACUGGGGAUCUCGAGUCCGGAAGAGGUGAGUGGAACUCCGAGUGUAGAGGUGAAAUUCGUAGAUAUUAGGAAGAACACCAGUGGCGAAGGCGACUUUCUGGACUGUAACUGACACUGAGGCUCGAAAGCGUGGGGAGCAAACAGG
This 253-nucleotide ribosomal RNA is filed under the name uncultured bacterium. Its description in RNAcentral is "partial 16S ribosomal RNA". It matches the Rfam family "Bacterial small subunit ribosomal RNA", at positions 524 to 776 of the family's 1533-position model. The record is from RNAcentral.